ACCCUCACACGUUGUUUCUGGCCAUCCCUCCCUCUUUCGUGCAGGAGGGGAUGGCAAAGAACAAAGAGCUACGAAGGCGAGGGAAGAGCUCCUCCCCUGACGCCAUUUUAACGGGAGUCGGAAGCGGGAUCACUGCGCCUGCGUUAUUCGCUUCGGCCCAAGAAAGGCGCGUGGAGGAGAGAAGCGGAGCUCUUGGGGCGCCUCCCGGAUCGGGACCUGGACGGAGGGGUGAGACUGAACUGAGUUGUCUUUGCUGUUUUGGGGACCAAAACCGAAGAACCAAACCCCAUAUCCUUCCAACAUUUGCAAGGCAUCGCGGUGGCAUCAAAGGCCUAACCCCGAUCAUCUCUUCUUUGGGGUGGAGUGGGAAACCUGCAGCCCUUGACGGCAGACCUUCUAAAGAGAUACUGAAGAGAGCAGGUAAGAAGGCUCUGAUCAUGGCUGUGUUUUUGUUGAGAAUCUGGAAACGUAAUUCUGAAAGAGAAACAGAGAGACUUCCAGACAUCUUUCAGCUCCCGGACUUCUCGUUCAGCAACAAGGGUGUUAUCUUGGGAAGGGACGUUUGUGUUUCACGGAAUGUCCUUGAAAGUCUUGGCUGUGCUCCGAUCCAGGAUGUGGCGUCUCCUUUCAGGGGAAGCUGUCCUGACGGGAGAGGGGCCUCCUGGGCCUUUUUCCCCCGAGUGCCUCUGAGGUGGCAGUUGGCCAAAUAAAUCAGGAAGAAGGAGCAGAGGGGCCAUCAUCCUUCUGGGUUUCUCUCACAAUCAGCUCCCAUCGACCGGCUCAGAUUGUACUCCGCCUGCUGGAUCAGAUUGGGCUUGGGGUCUGAUCCUGCUUCAGGGGCUCUUCUUCGACACUUCAUAGAUGGAAACCAAGGUGUUUUGCUACUUGAUGGGAGGCAGAGCCCCUGGAGAAACAGAAACAGUUGGAUAUGGUCCAGUCUUCCAUUCUGCGUCUCACGGGAGGUGAAGUGAGGGAUACCACUGAGAAGGGCAAACCUGAUGGUCCACACUCACAGUUCCAGUUUUUUGCAAUCACUAAUCUGGCAACCGUCACAAACUUUUUCAUUAACUCCUUUUUUAUCCAAGCCCACUGCUCAUCCUCUUAAGAGUGCAACUUUGGGGGCAAGUUGCAUUAAGUUUUCAUUUUCUUCAAAUACUGUCUUCCAAAAUGUCAAAGUUGGUUCCCACUCUCAUUAUAUUUGAAAAUAAGUAACUAUAAUGUGACCACAUCUCCAAGACAAUAUACAGCAUUUAGAAUCCAUAAUAUUUAAUUUUUCCUGGUGCCAAAUACCUACUCCAUAUCAUUGUAUAAAUAUUUUGCUUUUAUUCCCGCAGAGGUAUUUUAUUAUUAUUUUUUCCUUUUUAAUACACAUUGGUUUACUACACACUGGAGCCAAAGUUUGGGAGUUCACUUCCCUUCUGGCUCUACAGUUAUAUUAACUCAGUACUUACUUCCCUGGCCAUCUCUGCUUCCUAACCUGUUGAUUCUCUUCCAAUAACGACAUUGUUGUUGUUGUUUAGUCAUUUAGUUGUGUCUGACUCUUCGUGACCCCAUGGACCAGAGCAUGCCAGACUCUCCUAUCUUCCACUGCCUCCCAAAGUUGUGUCAAAUUCAUGUUGGUUGCUUUGAUGACACUGUCCAAUCAUCUCAUCCUCUGUCCUCCCCUUCUCUUGCCUUCACACUUUCCUAACAUCAAGGUCUUUUCCAAGGAGAUGGAAAAGUAAACUGUCCUCUGAAUAUGCCGGCCACAGAGACUAGCGAAACAUUAGGAAGAACCACCUUCAGAACACAGCGAAGAAGCCCAAAAAACCCACAACAACCAUUAGAUCCCGGCCGUUAAAGCCUUUGCGAAUACAUUAAUGCAGCUUCCUAGGAACGUUGGACACCUUACUACUUCCUAUACCACCCCAUGGCUGUAGUGCAAUGUGUUCCAGCAAAAAUAGUGCAGAUCUUUAUUAAAUUUGGUGCAUUCUGCUAGUUAAGUACAUAGCCUGGCAGCCAUUGAUACUGAUGAUAUAUCCUGCUAGUUCGGUACACGGUCUGUGUAGAUUCAAUAAUAUUUUGAAUUCAAAUAAUGUAUGGUUUCCUUCUUUUCAAAUCAAGGGGGUAAUGUCAGCAUAUAUAAAAAAUUGGGGGGCGGGUAAAAGGUAAAAAAGGUCCCUGACCCCUGACCUAUGGUUUUAAUCAGGUCAUCCAAGCAAGGCAUAGGACAGGCAUCAACUUUGGUAAUAUGGUUUAAUUUCCUAUAGUCCACACAGAACCUGACACUCCCAUCAGGCUUAUCUACAAGAACUAUAGGCGCAGCUCAAGGUCUCAUGGUUGGGGUGAUUAUAUUGGCUUUCAGCAUCUCAUUUAGUUCUGUGCAGAUUUUAUCCACAUAGGGACCUUGGUUACUCAGAUGCUUUUGAACUGCAACUCCCAGAAACCCCAGUCAGCACAGCUGGUGGUGAAGGCUUCUGGGAGUUGCAGUCCAAAACUCCUGAGUAACCCAAGGUUAAGAACCAGUGCCUUAUAUUUUUAUAAAAGAGUGAACUUUUUUUUGUUCUUGGGUUAGAGCAGGGCUAAGGACCAUGUCCUUGAGGUUAUUUUUAGACUCCCCUCUGCCUUCCCAGCAUAUUAAUUUUUGUUUAUCUCCUGUGUUUUCCUUCACAGUAAAUAAAACCCUGUUUUCUUUUAGGUAAUAUGGUUUU
This is a long non-coding RNA of Pogona vitticeps (central bearded dragon), 2690 nucleotides long. Lineage: Eukaryota; Metazoa; Chordata; Lepidosauria; Squamata; Agamidae. The record is from Ensembl.